AGAACGAACGCUGGCGGCAUGCCUAACACAUGCAAGUCGAACGAGACCUUCGGGUCUAGUGGCGCACGGGUGCGUAACGCGUGGGAAUCUGCCCUUGGGUUCGGGAUAACAGUUGGAAACGACUGCUAAUACCGGAUGAUGUCUUCGGACCAAAGAUUUAUCGCCCAGGGAUGAGCCCGCGUAGGAUUGGCUUGUUGGUGAGGUAAGAGCUCACCAAGGCGACGAUCCUUAGCUGGUCUGAGAGGAUGAUCAGCCACACUGGGACUGAGACACGGCCCAGACUCCUACGGGAGGCAGCAGUGGGGAAUAUUGGACAAUGGGCGAAAGCCUGAUCCAGCAAUGCCGCGUGAGUGAUGAAGCCUUAGGUGUAAAGCUCUUUACCCGGGAUGAUAAUGACAGUACCGGAGAAUAAGCCCCGGACUAACUCCGUGCCAGCAAGCCGC
Molecule: ribosomal RNA, 443 nt
Filed under: uncultured soil bacterium
Lineage: Bacteria
Description: bacterial SSU rRNA
Rfam family: Bacterial small subunit ribosomal RNA
Source: RNAcentral